Small nucleolar RNA from Panthera leo (lion), 75 nucleotides. Lineage: Eukaryota; Metazoa; Chordata; Mammalia; Carnivora; Felidae. The record is from Ensembl.
UGGAUCGAAUGAUGAGGCUGGUGCCGUAUGAAUCACGCAUGAUGAAUGAUACGUGUCUGGAACUCUGAGGUCCAA